AAAGGUGUAGCUCAGUGGUAGAGUGCAUGCCUAGCAUGCACAAGGUCCUGGGUUCAGUCCCCAGUACUUCUG
This 72-nucleotide transfer RNA is filed under the name Camelus bactrianus (Bactrian camel). It matches the Rfam family "tRNA". Rfam says of the family: Transfer RNA (tRNA) molecules are approximately 80 nucleotides in length. Their secondary structure includes four short double-helical elements and three loops (D, anti-codon, and T loops). RNAcentral also lists the same sequence under 1 other name. Lineage: Eukaryota; Metazoa; Chordata; Mammalia; Artiodactyla; Camelidae. The record is from Rfam by way of RNAcentral.